Molecule: unclassified non-coding RNA, 298 nt
Organism: Callithrix jacchus (white-tufted-ear marmoset)
Lineage: Eukaryota; Metazoa; Chordata; Mammalia; Primates; Cebidae
Rfam family: Metazoan signal recognition particle RNA
About the family: The signal recognition particle (SRP) is a universally conserved ribonucleoprotein. It is involved in the co-translational targeting of proteins to membranes. The eukaryotic SRP consists of a 300-nucleotide 7S RNA and six proteins: SRPs 72, 68, 54, 19, 14, and 9.
Source: Ensembl
GCCAGGCGCGGUGCGGUGGUGCACGCCUGUAGUCCCAGCUACUCAGGAGGCUGAGGUGGGAGGAUCAAUUGAGCCCAGGAGUUCUGGGCUGUAGUGCACUAUGCUGAUCGGGUGUCCGCACGGCAUCAAUAUGGUGACCUCCCGGGAGCAGGGGACCACCAGGUUGCCUAAGGAGGAAUGAACUGGCCCAGGUCGGAAACGGAGCAGGUCAAAAUUCCCGUGCUGAUCAGUAGUGGGAUCGCGCCUGUGAUGAGCCACUGCAUUCCAGCCUGGGCAACAUAGUGAGACCCCGUCUCUU